This 497-nucleotide ribosomal RNA is filed under the name uncultured bacterium. RNAcentral describes it as "partial 16S ribosomal RNA". It matches the Rfam family "Bacterial small subunit ribosomal RNA", at positions 28 to 507 of the family's 1533-position model. The record is from RNAcentral.
GAUGAACGCUGGCGGCGUGCCUAAUACAUGCAAGUCGAGCGGACGGACGAGAAGCUUGCUUCUCGGAUGUUAGCGGCGGACGGGGGAGGAAUACGUGGAGAACCUACCUAUAAGACUGGGAUAACUUCGGGAAACCGGAGCUGAUACCGGAUAAUAUUUUGAACCGCAUGGUUCAAGAGUGUAAGACGGUCUUGCUGUCACUGAUAGAUGGGUCCGCGCUGCAUUAGCUAGUUGGUAAGGUAACGGCUUACCAAGGCAACGAUGCAUAGCCGACCUGAGAGGGUGAUCGGCCACACUGGAACUGAGACACGGUCCAGACUCCUACGGGAGGCAGCAGUAGGGAAUCUUCCGCAAUGGGCGAAAGCCUGACGGAGCAACGCCGCGUGAGUGAUGAAGGUCUUCGGAUCGUAAAACUCUGUUAUUAGGGAAGAACAUAUGUGUAAGUAACUGUGCACAUCUUGACGGUACCUAAUCAGAAAGCCACGGCUAACUACGUG